This is a long non-coding RNA of Mercurialis annua (annual mercury), 753 nucleotides long. RefSeq lists it as uncharacterized. The transcript is spliced from 5 exons. Lineage: Eukaryota; Viridiplantae; Streptophyta; Magnoliopsida; Malpighiales; Euphorbiaceae. The record is from RefSeq and is a predicted model, not a curated record.
ACCGGGGGAGUAAUAUUUUCAUUCUCUCACUCCACUGAGUGGUGAGUGGUGAGUGCUGAGUAUAGUAUCCUUUUCGUUCUGUUUGUUUCCCCAGAAAAUUUAAAAAGAAAAAGCUUGAUGCUUUUCUAUCUUCUACUCGGUUUUUCCGUUACCCGAAUGCCCAUUUUCUCUUGCUUGCCAUGCCUGGUUAAUUGAAGUCUUUUCCACAAAAUUUCAGUCUUUUUGAUGGGUCGAGGCAGCAGGUUUUCAUCAGUUGCAAGCAUUUGUUGGUACUUUUCUUCGCAGCUAGGUUGCAAAACCCGUGGCUGAUGUCCUUGGGUUCAGGUUGAUGUUUAAUUCUUGAUGAAUGCGGACUUAGCUACAGGUUCGAGAUUCUGCAGAAGCGGCUAAAAAGGAAUGCAAAAUGCAAAAAAAAAAAGAGGGGCAUUCCGAGAAUUGAACUCGGGACCUCUUGCACCCUAAGCAAGAAUCAUGCCACUAGACCGAAUGCCCUGCUGUUGAUGCUAUUUUCUCUGGCAAUUCUUACUGCAUCCUAUGUAAGACAAAAUUAUUCAUUUUUUGUGCAUCUAAAUUUCAAUAACUACAAGUCUACAACUAUCUAUUAAAAAAAAAUAUUGCUGUGGAAUCUUGUCAGAAAUUAAUUUUCUAUUUUUUUUUUGUGGUUCAGUGUUGAUUCCUCUUCUCAAAGACCAUGAGCUGAAAUCAGUAGCUACUUAUGUAUUUCCUAAAAUCAUUGGAUUUUAGAUUAUACUU